RNAcentral lists this ribosomal RNA (497 nucleotides) under uncultured bacterium. RNAcentral's name for it is "partial 16S ribosomal RNA". It matches the Rfam family "Bacterial small subunit ribosomal RNA", at positions 28 to 507 of the family's 1533-position model. The record is from RNAcentral.
GAUGAACGCUGGCGGCGUGCCUAAUACAUGCAAGUCGAGCGAACAGACGAGGAGCUUGCUCCUCUGACGUUAGCGGCGGACGGGUGAGUAACACGUGGAUAACCUACCUAUAAGACUGGGAUAACUUCGGGAAACCGGAGCUAAUACCGGAUAAUAUAUUGAACCGCAUGGUUCAAUAGUGAAAGACGGUUUUGCUGUCACUUAUAGAUGUAUCCGCGCCGCAUUAGCUAGUUGAUAAGGUAACGGCUUACCAAGGCAACGAUGCGUAGCCGACCUGAGAGGGUGAUCGGCCACACUGGAACUGAGACACGGUCCAGACUCCUACGGGAGGCAGCAGUAGGGAAUCUUCCGCAAUGGGCGAAAGCUUGACGGAGCAACGCCGCGUGAGUGAUGAAGGUCUUCGGAUCGUAAAACUCUGUUAUUAGGGAAGAACAAAUGUGUAAGUAACUAUGCACGUCUUGACGGUACCUAAUCAGAAAGCCACGGCUAACUACGUG